Molecule: transfer RNA, 65 nt
Filed under: Coralliophila richardi
Lineage: Eukaryota; Metazoa; Mollusca; Gastropoda; Neogastropoda; Muricidae
Description: tRNA-His
Source: RNAcentral
AUUGGGUUAGUUUAAAACAAAACAUCAGAUUGUGGGUCUGAAAAUGACUACUAAGUUACCUAAUA